This 581-nucleotide long non-coding RNA is filed under the name Brassica rapa (field mustard). RNAcentral describes it as "long non-coding RNA (BRAP_LNC005482)". Lineage: Eukaryota; Viridiplantae; Streptophyta; Magnoliopsida; Brassicales; Brassicaceae. The record is from RNAcentral.
UGAAACAAACACCUUCUUACUAUCCAAAUCAUAAAAAUAUUUUAAUAUACUCUAAAUAGUAAAUUCUAACAGAAUACUUUCUUCACUGUGCAACAUGCUUGUCAACUUGAUUUCACUUUAUUUUCCAUGCAUAACAAUCAAAUUACCAUCACCAUCAUCAUUAUUAUACCGAAAAUCAACGUUUUAUUAUAAUUUAUACUAUCUGAAUGGCUCUUCUAUUUUUUUUUUUUUUUUUUAAAAAGAAUGGCUCUUCUAUAAACUAUACUGAGGGAUUAAGACAAUCUGGUGGUUGAGAAUAAUUACUCCAUAUACAGAGUAUCGAUUGUAGUUUUAUAUUAUAAUAACUAGUGUCCAUUCCAUUCACUUUGAUGCAUACGUAGAGUAACCAUAUUCAGAGCUCUAGUCAUCUAACCAACUGAUUAUAUCUCUAACACAAAAUACAAACAUCAUAUCAAAUUAAAGAGAUUAUAUUUUAAGGAAAAUAAAAUGAAUCUCAAGUACAGCGUGUAUAUUUUGCAUAUUCAACAUAUUUUGAAUAUGCAUGUUCUUUCACUGUGCAACAACAUGCUUGUCAACUUGAU